This 1369-nucleotide ribosomal RNA is filed under the name uncultured bacterium. Its description in RNAcentral is "bacterial SSU rRNA". It matches the Rfam family "Bacterial small subunit ribosomal RNA", at positions 28 to 1381 of the family's 1533-position model. The record is from RNAcentral.
GACGAACGCUGGCGGCGUGCCUAAUACAUGCAAGUAGAACGCUGAAGAGAGGAGCUUGCUCUUCUUGGAUGAGUUGCGAACGGGUGAGUAACGCGUAGGUAACCUGCCUUGUAGCGGGGGAUAACUAUUGGAAACGAUAGCUAAUACCGCAUAACAAUGGAUGACACAUGUCAUUUAUUUGAAAGGGGCAAUUGUUCCACUACAAGAUGGACCUGCGUUGUAUUAGCUAGUAGGUGAGGUAAUGGCUCACCUAGGCGACGAUACAUAGCCGACCUGAGAGGGUGAUCGGCCACACUGGGACUGAGACACGGCCCAGACUCCUACGGGAGGCAGCAGUAGGGAAUCUUCGGCAAUGGGGGCAACCCUGACCGAGCAACGCCGCGUGAGUGAAGAAGGUUUUCGGAUCGUAAAGCUCUGUUGUAAGUCAAGAACGGGUGUGAGAGUGGAAAGUUCACACUGUGACGGUAGCUUACCAGAAAGGGACGGCUAACUACGUGCCAGCAGCCGCGGUAAUACGUAGGUCCCGAGCGUUGUCCGGAUUUAUUGGGCGUAAAGCGAGCGCAGACGGUUUGAUAAGUCUGAAGUUAAAGGCUGUGGCUCAACUAUAGUUCGCUUUGGAAACUGUCAAACUUGAGUGCAGAAGGGGAGAGUGGAAUUCCAUGUGUAGCGGUGAAAUGCGUAGAUAUAUGGAGGAACACCGGUGGCGAAAGCGGCUCUCUGGUCUGUAACUGACGCUGAGGCCCGAAAGCGUGGGGAGCGAACAGGAUUAGAUACCCUGGUAGUCCACGCCGUAAACGAUGAGUGCUAGGUGUUGGAUCCUUUCCGGGAUUCAGUGCCGCAGCUAACGCAUUAAGCACUCCGCCUGGGGAGUACGACCGCAAGGUUGAAACUCAAAGGAAUUGACGGGGGCCCGCACAAGCGGUGGAGCAUGUGGUUUAAUCCGAAGCAACGCGAAGAACCUUACCAGGUCUUGACAUCCCGAUGCUAUUUCUAGAGAUAGAAAGUUACUUCGGUACAUCGGUGACAGGUGGUGCAUGGUUGUCGUCAGCUCGUGUCGUGAGAUGUUGGGUUAAGUCCCGCAACGAGCGCAACCCCUAUUGUUAGUUGCCAUCAUUCAGUUGGGCACUCUAGCGAGACUGCCGGUAAUAAACCGGAGGAAGGUGGGGAUGACGUCAAAUCAUCAUGCCCCUUAUGACCUGGGCUACACACGUGCUACAAUGGUUGGUACAACGAGUUGCGAGUCGGUGACGGCGAGCUAAUCUCUUAAAGCCAAUCUCAGUUCGGAUUGUAGGCUGCAACUCGCCUACAUGAAGUCGGAAUUGCUAGUAAUCGCGGAUCAGCACGCCGCGGUGAAUACGUUCCCGGGCCU